GGCAAAUGUUUGGAUGACUGAUUGCAUCGUCAGAAUCUCAAUACGUGAUGGAAGUGUGCUCGGAUGGGUUCUCCUCCCUUCUUUGAGACGGAAAUUGUUGGGAGAAGGGAAACAAAUUGAUGUUUUAAAUGGCAUUGCAUGGGAUAGCGGCAAGAAUCGCCUUUUUGUGACAGGAAAGCUAUGGCCAAAGCUCUUUGAAAUCAAAGUGCAGCCAUCAAAGGAGCAUUAUGAUGAUGAAAAGAUAAAACAGCUUUGCUUGCGAGAGGCAGUUACAUUUUGACUAACAUUAUCG
This 292-nucleotide unclassified non-coding RNA is filed under the name Hevea brasiliensis (rubber tree). Lineage: Eukaryota; Viridiplantae; Streptophyta; Magnoliopsida; Malpighiales; Euphorbiaceae. The record is from RNAcentral.